This 497-nucleotide ribosomal RNA is filed under the name uncultured bacterium. RNAcentral's name for it is "partial 16S ribosomal RNA". It matches the Rfam family "Bacterial small subunit ribosomal RNA", at positions 28 to 507 of the family's 1533-position model. The record is from RNAcentral.
GAUGAACGCUGGCGGCGUGCCUAAUACAUGCCAGUCGAGCGAACGGACGAGAAGCUUGCUUCUCUGAUGUUAGCGGCGGACGGGUGAGUAACACGUGGAUCACCUACCUAUAAGACUGGGAUAACUUCGGGAAACCGGAGCUAAUACCGGAUAAUAUUUUGAACCGCAUGGUUCAAAAGUGAAAGACGGUCUUGCUGUCACUUAUAGAUGGAUCCGCGCUGCAUUAGCUAGUUGGUAAGGUAACGGCUUACCAAGGCAACGAUGCAUAGCCGACCUGAGAGGGUGAUCGGCCACACUGGAACUGAGACACGGUCCAGACUCCUACGGGAGGCAGCAGUAGGGAAUCUUCCGCAAUGGGCGAAAGCCUGACGGAGCAACGCCGCGUGAGUGAUGAAGGUCUUCGGAUCGUAAAACUCUGUUAUUAGGGAAGAACAUAUGUGUAAGUAACUGUGCACAUCUUGACGGUACCUAAUCAGAAAGCCACGGCUAACUACGUG